This 305-nucleotide ribosomal RNA is filed under the name uncultured bacterium. Its description in RNAcentral is "bacterial SSU rRNA". It matches the Rfam family "Bacterial small subunit ribosomal RNA", at positions 338 to 660 of the family's 1533-position model. The record is from RNAcentral.
CCUACGGGGGGCAGCAGUGGGGAAUAUUGCGCAAUGGGGGCAACCCUGACGCAGCAACGCCGCGUGCGGGACGAAGGCCUUCGGGUUGUAAACCGCUUUCAGCAGGGAAGAACCAUGACGGUACCUGCAGAAGAAGCCCCGGCUAACUACGUGCCAGCAGCCGCGGUAAUACGUAGGGGGCGAGCGUUAUCCGGAUUCAUUGGGCGUAAAGCGCGCGUAGGCGGCCCGCUAAGCGGGACCUCUAACCUGGGGGCUCAACCUCCAGCCGGGUCCCGAACUGGCGAGCUCGAGUGCGGUAGGGGCAG